This is an RNA transcript of Coffea arabica (coffee), 2699 nucleotides long. RefSeq lists it as uncharacterized. The record is from RefSeq and is a predicted model, not a curated record. Lineage: Eukaryota; Viridiplantae; Streptophyta; Magnoliopsida; Gentianales; Rubiaceae.
UAUUUCAAGCCUUAGCCGGAUGUUAGUGGAAAUUGACUGUUCUACAGUAUUAAUGAGAUUUGAUGCUAAUUUCUGUCAGCCAGCUUAUUUGCACUCAUAUAGCUUUCUACUUUUGUUAUCCUGCUGCCUACUUUUGCUUUCCUACUUUUGUUUUUCAUCUUAUUCCGAUGCCAGCUCAUUUGUUUUCUGCCUUUAUUCAUGCUAUGAACUGUAAAUCAUUUCCAAACUUUAUAUUCAUAUCCAGACUUUAUAUUCAAACAUCUUCACUCCAAAUCUUGUUUCCAAUCAUCGGCCUGAAGAAGUGGAAGAAUCGGAGCUGUGAGAACUAGUGCUCAAAAAUGGCGUCUCUACCACCAGUGCUAAGCAUCCCAAGGUUUGGAAGUGUCGAAAAACCCGAGCCAGAUAUGAUCGAGCUCAUCCGUUACGCUGGUGAUUCUGGAGUCACUUUUCUUCAUACCUCCGACGUUUAUGGACCUCACAUGAAUGAAAUCCUCAUCGGCAAGAGUAGGAUAUUGAAGAGUACAUAAACAGAAUCCAAUGAGUUUGGGAGAAAGAAGUAGCUUGCUCGAAGCCUUUACAUCUACUUCUGAGAAGGUUGGAGAGAUGAAGAAGCUUGUUGAAGAGGGUAAAGUUAAAUACAUCGGUCUAUCAGAGGCCUCUGCUUCGAUAAUCUGAAGGGCUCACACUGUUCAUCCUAUAAUAGCUGUUCAAUUAGAAUGGUCAUUGUGGUCCAGAGAUUGGACGAAGAAAUUCAUCUGACAAGCAGAGAGCUUGGUAUUGGCAUUGUUCAUUACACCCCUCUUGGACAGUGAUUUUUCUCUGCAGGACCACAACUGUUUGACAACUUGGCAGAGGGUGACAUGCAUAAGAGUUUUCCAAGGCUGAAACCAGAAAACCUGGAGGAAAACAAGAAAAUAUUUGCACGGGUUACUGAAAUGCAGCAAAGAAAGGAUGCACCCCAGCACUGCUGGCCUUGGCUUGGGCUCAUCAUCAAGGAGAUGGCAUGGUUCCAGUUCUUGGUGCCACCAAGAAGGAGAACUUCAACCCAAAUGUCAGAGCUCUAUCAGUGAAAUUAACACGAGUAGAUGGCUAAACUUGAGUCCUAUGCUUCCGCUGAUGUGGUUAAGGGUAAUAGACAUGCCUUCGUGGCAACAACAUGGAAGAACUCUGAUUUUGUUAUUGGUUUUUUUUUGGACAAAAAAACUCCAUUUUUUCAAUGGGUUCUCUUCUUGUAGAAAAAGGAAUUUAAUUUUUUUUAACACUCUUGGAGACCGUUUUCCCUCUGAAUUCUGUCGGCCAUUAUUGUUCAUUGCAUUUCAGCCCCUCUUCUCUAGGCAAUUUUGUCAUUCCAGCCUCUUGCUUGUUCUUUUUCUUGAAGCUGGUACAACUGGUUGCUGCUUUUAUUUGGAUAAUGUGUCUUUUCUAUCCUUAUUACACAACGCUUUUUUGUUAUUGCUUUGCAAAACUCCAUAUUUGUGUUUUCACAGUAGCCUUCUACUUUUGCUAUUGGAAAUUGUUCUUCAUCUGACACCAUGUUUGCUUUUAUUUUUUGCAUUCACAUCUCUCCGCUCUAUCCUGCUACCACUUACACGAAUGGCAUCUAAAUCACAGGUGUCCAAACAUUUGAGACGUUACCAUGCCUACAUUUUUCCUACCAGCUACCACUGCCCUUUUGAGGCAAUUUCUAUCUAUUACCAGAUAUUUGCCAACCCUUCAUCUUCCUUCAUCUUCUCCAGAGGCCAUAACAAUAAAGGAGCAGGCCAUCUCCAAUCUCUCUGAUCUGCUUGGGCAAGAAAAUGAGGCGAAGGAACUUAAGAACCUUUUGACCCAACUUCGGCCCUUCUUUUCCUUGAUCCCCAAAGCAAAAGCUGCAAAAAUUAUCUGUGGAAUUGUUGAUACGGUGGCCAAAAUACCUGCCACAUCUGAUGUUCAGAUUACCCUAUGCAAGGAAAUUGUGCAAUAGACGCGUGAUGAGAAGUGAACUUUCCUUUGUUAGCGCACUGAGGCAAAACUUGCAGCUCUAUUGAUGGAGACCAAGGAAGAUUCCGAAACUUUAGCUCUGCUUUCUGGACCAAUCAAGGAGGCUUCAAAUAUUUUGCAAGAGUUGAUCAACAUUCAUAUUGAUGGAAAAGUUAUAUUAGCAAUCCAAGGUCAGGUCAAAGAUGAUAAGCCUACCUUUAUUGAGCGAACAGCAGUAAAAUCUAUUUGUGGAGUCUUUGAAAACUUGUUGACUACUCAAGUUGGCAUUCCAAAUGAACAGCUUCUGCAAGUCAUUUAUGUCUUGUUCCUAAAACUUUAGAGGUGCCGCAUGUUUAUUUGAAGAGUAUAGUACUCAAACUCGCUCAAACGAUGACUAAUGAUAGUGGUGUUUCUGACACAACUUAUGCGCUGUUCAGAGUUUGAAGACUACUGGACCUUUAAGCUUUGAAAGUCCUGUUCUCUAUUUUCUUGGAAGAGUUGCCUGCAAGAAGCAUUUGACAAGGUAUCUAGCUCUGUGAGAACAUUAGAACCUGCUUUUCAGGGGAGCUGGUCAGAGAAUGUGUCCUAAUUGAAAGACUGCAGUGGAUAAUUAUACUGAUCUUUCAGUGUCUGUUAUUCCAUUUAUUUCAUGAAAUAUGGAACGAGUCACGUGUUGCAUCACAUUACGAAAAUUGCUACUAUACUAACAUGAAAAACCUUUCCAAAUAAUCUUCAACCCA